UUAGCCAUUUUCAGCAGAUAAUUUAUUACUUGGGCUGCUUCUUAUUGGCUGAUUAGAACCUCAGGAAGCCACAGGGGCAGAGAGAUAGCGAGUUUAGUCUGUUGCCUGUGAGUAUAGAAUCACACAUAGCUUGCUGGUUGGAGGGAACAAAGUGAGGAGUUUUGGUUUGUUUUCUGGGUGUUUUUCUCUGUGGUUAGAAAUGAAGAUGUGCAAAACUAUACUUCCUUGUAUUCUAUUAUUGUCAGAUUUAGUGGUCAUGAUGGCAGCGGAGGAGACGAUUGUCCCAGACGUGACGGUGAAUACGGUGGCGCCCGUCACGGUGGUGACCGUCCCAAACACGAUGGGGGAGACGGUGGCGCCCGUCACGGUGGUGACUGUCCCAGAUACGCCAGGGAAGACAGUGGCGCCCGUCACGGAGGCUACCAUCACAGAGGCGACCCUCGCAGACACACCGGGGAAGACGGUGGUGCCUGUCACAGAGGCGACCGUCCUAGGCAUGACGAUGACCAUAGUGCUUGGACAUAAAAAAAUCUCAACUUCAGGGCUGCCAUCAGUAAAAAGCUUCUCAAGUUCUACAAUGAAAAUAAGUAGAGAAUCAACGUUCUUUUUCAAGUCUACUGCUAAACAACUAACUUUGGAGGACAAGAAGUUAGUCAGAUCAACCUCUACCAACCUGACUUUUGGGCCAGAUAAAGAACAGCAAACAUCUGAACUAGAGAUAGGGCUCAGCAUUUUCUUUGGGAUACUCCUUAUUAUUGUCAUCAUUGUUUGUUGCUGUAGGUGGAAAAAGUCAAGAAAAAGCUCAUUUGACUUGAACUCAAUAGAAGCAACUAUUCCCUUAAAUACCAUUGAAACAAAAGAACCAAGCUCAGAUGGGGAGAAGAAAUGAAAGCACUCUCACUUAAUAGCCAUUCAAGAAGAUCUCACAAAAAGAACUAAUAUGGCUGAAUCACCAGAGAAAUUAAAAUGGAUUGAAAUUCAAAGAGAUCCACUGGCACUCUCAAUAGUGUAAACUUCUUUUUAAAUGGCACAUUUUGGAGUGUUCUUGAAUCUAGUCAUAGUAAUAAGCAGAUAUUCAUUGGUGCUGGCUGCUACAAAUCUUUAUUCAUUGCCUGUUACUUUUUGGUUGUGGAAAAAAGCUCGCCUUACUUUAAUAUAGUUAUCUAUGGGCCACAUUCCACCAUUUAGGCACAAAUCUGCAUCAGCAUAUGAGGAACUGGGGGAGGCAUAAUCCCUCUCCCAGCUCUCCAGCAUUCAGAAGAAACAUGCCAUGGCCCUUCCUCUUCCUGCCCCAGCCUGCUUCCUUUAGAGGAUUGUGGCCUUUAGGGUGCACAGCAGGAAGGAGUCACGGAGGCAGGCAGUCUUUGUGCUUCCCUGAGUAUAGGGACUGGGGUCUUUCCGGGCCCUUAUGUGGAGCUCCUAAGAAGUGAGGGGAAAACUAUUUAUGCCUCCUGCUCCCACCAAUUCAUCCGUCCAAAAGCCUGUGAAAAUCUAGCCCUUAAUUCUUUGUACAUAGCUUGUUUUAUAAUAAAUGACCUAAGUAAAAGUGAGUCUCA
Molecule: long non-coding RNA, 1556 nt
Organism: Chrysemys picta bellii (western painted turtle)
Lineage: Eukaryota; Metazoa; Chordata; Testudines; Emydidae
Source: Ensembl